GGAGACGUCGCAUAGUCCGGCCUAGUGCACCACCCUGCUAAGAAAAAAAAAGGUGGAGUCCCCUCACGGGGACCGAGGGUUCAAAUCCCUCCGUCUCCG
RNAcentral lists this transfer RNA (99 nucleotides) under Microthrixaceae bacterium. RNAcentral describes it as "tRNA-OTHER". It matches the Rfam family "tRNA". From Rfam's summary of the family: Transfer RNA (tRNA) molecules are approximately 80 nucleotides in length. The record is from RNAcentral. Lineage: Bacteria; Bacillati; Actinomycetota; Acidimicrobiia; Acidimicrobiales; Microthrixaceae.